CACAAUCCGGACAGAGGUCAGCUUCACCUCGGGGAACACCAUCCGCACUGGAGAGCCUGGGGCUAAAAAGACCAAGAGAACAGCCAUUAGAUAGGGCCUGGCAGGCAUCUGGGAACCUCUGUUUGGCCAUAAGCAUCAGAGGGGGAGAAGUUGUGCAUUGCCACAGACAGCAGGCAGGCCGCUGAAUUACCUCUAUCAAGGUCACCAGGGGGAGCUAAUGAUAAUUUGCAAAUCCAGAGGUUGGUCUAGGCACACUCUUGGGACAGGAAACACCACAUCGCGCUCACAUUCAAUCACAGCAAGGUUUGUUUAUCACGUCCCAUUAUCCCACAGCUUUUUUUUUAUUACUAUGAUUGGAUUUCUGUAGGAGUUCAUAAUUGGGCUGUAAAAAUUUGCUUCAGGCUGGAACUGGCUAUAAAAUAUCAGGUUUUAGAGUGAAACAAUCUUUUUGUCAAUUACUGGGAGGAGGGGGGGAAAUAGACUGCAAUUUUUGGGAGCAGAUUCUCAGCUAGAAACUAAUAGGACUGUGCCUCUUUACAUUAGGGGAGGAUCCGGUUCUUUGAGAUUAAAAAUGGAAUCCACGUGAUUAGCUG
Molecule: long non-coding RNA, 593 nt
Organism: Podarcis raffonei (Aeolian wall lizard)
Lineage: Eukaryota; Metazoa; Chordata; Lepidosauria; Squamata; Lacertidae
Exons: 3
Source: RefSeq, a predicted model, not a curated record